RNAcentral lists this long non-coding RNA (607 nucleotides) under Heterocephalus glaber (naked mole-rat). RNAcentral's name for it is "lncRNA (ENSHGLG00100051920.1)". Lineage: Eukaryota; Metazoa; Chordata; Mammalia; Rodentia; Bathyergidae. The record is from RNAcentral.
GGGUUUGUUUUAAAAACUACUCUGAUAUGGACCAAGCACAAGAGAGAACUUUUGGGUCCAUCCCUGGGUAGAAGGCAGUGAUUAUGGGGGAACAUUGAUGCCAUGAACCUUAUCCUAAUUACAAAAAAAGUUUCCAAGUUCGGAGUUGUAGCAACUGUCUCAGAGCCAGUGCCAGUCCUAUCUUCUCUGUUGAUCCCCCUCCCAUGCUGAAGACCACCAGCAACACACCUGUGUCUGAGCAGAGCUGGGCUCAUUGGCUCCUUUGCAACCAGGACAGCAGCCCGACACAGGAACCCACUCCAUGGGGAAGUGGAGGCUCCUGGCCAAGAGGGGGUGCAGAAAUGGCGGAAUAUGCUCAGGCUUUCGGACAGUAAUGAGGCAGCAGGAACACUUGCUUAUGUUUAAGGUUUGGAUAGAAUUCUGGCCAUUGUCUUGGAUGUAGCUGGGCUUGGUGACCAUUUCUGCAACUCUGCGGCUCCCCCAUCCUCUGUUGGGGUGUCCCUGCAGCCUCUUGCAGCUCCCCUUCUUACCUAAAGCUGGAGAAGCACCCCACUGCCACUAGGGAGCCAUGCAGUGCCAGCCCUGGCCUCACUGCUGGGUCCCGAGC